This 24-nucleotide non-coding RNA is filed under the name Arabidopsis thaliana (thale cress). Lineage: Eukaryota; Viridiplantae; Streptophyta; Magnoliopsida; Brassicales; Brassicaceae. The record is from RNAcentral.
AUUCUUUUGCAUGCAACUGAGUGA